GAUGAACGCUGGCGGCGUGCCUAAUACAUGCAAGUCGAGCGAGCGGACGAGAAGCUUGCUUCUCUGAUGUUAGCGGCGGACGGGUGAGUAACACGUGGAUAACCUACCUAUAAGACUGGGAUAACUUCGGGAAACCGGAGCUAAUACCGGAUAAUAUUUUGAACCGCAUGGUUCAAAAGUGAAAGACGGUCUUGCUGUCACUUAUAGAUGGAUCCGCGCUGCAUUAGCUAGUUGGUAAGGUAACGGCUUACCAAGGCAACGAUGCAUAGCCGACCUGAGAGGGUGAUCGGCCACACUGGAACUGAGACACGGUCCAGACUCCUACGGGAGGCAGCAGUAGGGAAUCUUCCGCAAUGGGCGAAAGCCUGACGAAGCAACGCCGCGUGAGUGAUGAAGGUCUUCGGAUCGUAAAACUCUGUUAUUAGGGAAGAACAUAUGUGUAAGUAACUGUGCACAUCUUGACGGUACCUAAUCAGAAAGCCACGGCUAACUACGUG
This 497-nucleotide ribosomal RNA is filed under the name uncultured bacterium. RNAcentral's name for it is "partial 16S ribosomal RNA". It matches the Rfam family "Bacterial small subunit ribosomal RNA", at positions 28 to 507 of the family's 1533-position model. The record is from RNAcentral.